UAUUGCACAAUGGGGGAAACCCUGAUGCAGCGACGCCGCGUGAGUGGAGAAGUAUUUCGGUAUGUAAAGCUCUAUCAACAGGGAAGAAGAAAGACGGUACCUGACUAAGAAGCCCCGGCUAACUACGUGCCAGCAGCCGCGGUAAUACGUAGGGGGCAAGCGUUAUCCGGAUUUAAUGGGUGUAAAGGGAGCGUAGACGGCUGCGCAAGUCUGGAGUGAAAUGCCGGGGCCCAACCCCGGAACUGCUUUGGAAACUGUGCAGCUCGAGUGCAGGAGAGGUAAGCGGAAUUCCUAGUGUAGCGGUGAAAUGCGUAGAUAUUAGGAGGGACACCAGUGGCGAAGGCGGCUUACUGGACUGUAACUGACGUUGAGGCUCGAAAGCGUGGGGAGCAAACAGG
This 398-nucleotide ribosomal RNA is filed under the name uncultured bacterium. Its description in RNAcentral is "bacterial SSU rRNA". It matches the Rfam family "Bacterial small subunit ribosomal RNA", at positions 362 to 776 of the family's 1533-position model. The record is from RNAcentral.